CAGGUUCUGGAGCCUGGUUCAGAUCCUCACGAUGCCACUCCAGCCAUGUGACUUGGGCGAGUCAGUGACUCGAUCUGGGCCCCUGGUUCCUCAUAAGUAAGAUGGGAAUAAUAAUGGCCACAGCCUCAGAGAGUUCUUAAAACCUGAGUAGUAAAUUCGCCCUGCCCACCUCCCGGAAUGGCUGCCAGGAUCAAACGGGAUAUUGCCUAAGAAAGCACUCUGUAAACGAUGUGGUGGCAGGAGCUGGACCAGUCACCUUGAACUCCAGCACAUGUGUUGAAGAUGGCAGAGUGGCUUUACUUUCCUUAUUCUGGCAACCUCUGGACCAUUACUUGAGAGACAAUAAA
Molecule: long non-coding RNA, 347 nt
Filed under: Equus caballus (horse)
Lineage: Eukaryota; Metazoa; Chordata; Mammalia; Perissodactyla; Equidae
Description: lncRNA (ENSECAG00000046279.1)
Source: RNAcentral